This 394-nucleotide unclassified non-coding RNA is filed under the name uncultured Agaricomycetes. Its description in RNAcentral is "sequence contains ITS2". The stretch from base 1 to 154 matches the Rfam family "5.8S ribosomal RNA". The record is from RNAcentral. Lineage: Eukaryota; Fungi; Basidiomycota; Agaricomycetes.
AACUUUUAGCAACGGAUCACUUGGCUCCCAUAUCGAUGAAGAACGCAGCGAAAUGCGAUAACUAACGUGAAUCGCAGAACUUUGUGAAUCGUCGAGUCUUUGAACGCACCUUGCGCCUUCUGGUAUUCCGGAAGGCACAUCUGUUUGAGUGUCAUUUUAAUCCUCAAUUCAUUUAUUUUUUCGGAAAUGGAUGAAGUUGGACAUUGGGUGAUGCGUUUUCUGAAUGCUCAUCUGAAAUGAAGAAUCAACCUGUUGUGUUGCACUUUUGUUAUAGUUUUUCUCUCAAAAGAGUGAUGUGACGAAGGGUUGACUUUGGAUCUCGAUCCACCUUUGAUUCAAGACCUCAAAUCAGAUGGGAUUACCCGCUGAACUUAAGCAUAUCAAAGCGGAGGCU